RNAcentral lists this ribosomal RNA (480 nucleotides) under uncultured bacterium. Its description in RNAcentral is "bacterial SSU rRNA". It matches the Rfam family "Bacterial small subunit ribosomal RNA", at positions 34 to 509 of the family's 1533-position model. The record is from RNAcentral.
CGCUGGCGGCGUGCCUAACACAUGCAAGUCGAACGAAGCUUGAGAACAGAAUUCUUCGGGAAUGACGUUUGAUAUGACUGAGUGGCGGACGGGUGAGUAACGCGUGAGCAACCUGCCCUUCGGAGGGGGAUAGUGUCUGGAAACGGACAGUAAUACCGCAUAAUGUUGGAUGAUGGCAUCUUCAUUCAACCAAAGAUUUAUCGCCGAAGGAUGGGCUCGCGUCUGAUUAGAUAGUUGGUGGGGUAACGGCCUACCAAGUCGACGAUCAGUAGCCGGACUGAGAGGUUGAACGGCCACAUUGGGACUGAGACACGGCCCAGACUCCUACGGGAGGCAGCAGUGGGGAAUAUUGCACAAUGGGCGCAAGCCUGAUGCAGCAACGCCGCGUGGAGGAAGACGGUUUUCGGAUUGUAAACUCCUGUUCUUAGGGAAGAAGACAGUGACGGUACCUAAGGAGCAAGCCACGGCUAACUACGUGCC